This 429-nucleotide ribosomal RNA is filed under the name uncultured bacterium. RNAcentral describes it as "bacterial SSU rRNA". It matches the Rfam family "Bacterial small subunit ribosomal RNA", at positions 355 to 776 of the family's 1533-position model. The record is from RNAcentral.
UGGGGAAUUUUGCGCAAUGGGCGAAAGCCUGACGCAGCAACGCCGCGUGGAGGAUGAAGGUCCUUGGAUUGUAAACUCCUGUCAGCGGGGAAAAAGGGAGGUGACCUCAUACGUCAUCGACUUGAUUGUACCCGCAGAGGAAGCCCCGGCUAACUCUGUGCCAGCAGCCGCGGUAAUACAGAGGGGGCAAGCGUUAUUCGGAAUUAUUGGGCGUAAAGGGCGCGUAGGCGGCUUUGCAAGUGACGGGUGAAAUCCCCCGGCUUAACCGGGGAACUGCCUGUCAGACUGCAUGGCUUGAGACCAGGAGAGGUGAGUGGAAUUCCCAGUGUAGCGGUGAAAUGCGUAGAUAUUGGGAGGAACACCAGUGGCGAAGGCGGCUCACUGGACUGGUACUGACGCUGAGGCGCGAAAGCGUGGGGAGCAAACAGG